AAAAGAAAGAAAGAAAGGAGAAAGAAGGAAUGAAAGAAAAAAGAAAGAAAGAAAAAGAAAGAAAGAAAGAAAGAAAGAAAGAAAGAAAGAAAGAAAGAAAGAAAGAAAAAAAAAAGAAAAUUAUGUCUUCUAUCUAGUUCUGUCAUCUCUUUUAGUGUGGCAUGGCAGAAAGAACAAUGUAUAUGCCCACACAAAUACCUGCUGAUGGAGAUACAAAUGUGAUAGAAAAACAUCUCCUGAGAGAGACAUUUGAGGACUCCAAUUGGAUACUCAAAGAGAUUCUCUGGUGACCAAAAGGAGCCUUCAGUGAUCAAAUAACUUCAGUUAAGAAUUCCUGGUUUAAGAUUUUACAGGAAUACAUUGAACAUCAGGUUGAUGAUGCAAUGAUGGCAAAUGCAGCCCAGAAAUUUCCCUUCAAUAUUCCUAAAAGCAAAGAAGGAUAUUAAUAUCAUCAAAUCUUUGAAUGCCAUUACCCAGGCCAGGCUGACUGGCUGAGCCAUUACUGGAUGCCCAAGUGGAUCAAUGCCACUGACCCUUCUGCCCACACACUGACCCACUACAAGUCAGCUGCCAAAGCUUAAGUGCUCUUUAUGCUGUAAUGUGAAAGCAAAUAUUUCUUCUUGCUGCGUGGGGAUUAUGGAUAGAUAGGGGAACAAUGACAGUCAAUUCAGGCUAACUUGGGUGUGAAAAAAAUAAAAGUCCUAAAUCUAAAA
Molecule: long non-coding RNA, 713 nt
Filed under: Homo sapiens (human)
Lineage: Eukaryota; Metazoa; Chordata; Mammalia; Primates; Hominidae
Description: HSALNT0346450
Source: RNAcentral